RNAcentral lists this ribosomal RNA (439 nucleotides) under uncultured bacterium. RNAcentral's name for it is "partial 16S ribosomal RNA". It matches the Rfam family "Bacterial small subunit ribosomal RNA", at positions 339 to 795 of the family's 1533-position model. The record is from RNAcentral.
CUACGGGGCGCAGCAGUGGGGAAUUUUGCGCAAUGGGGGAAACCCUGACGCAGCAAUACCGCGUGAGUGAAGAAGGCCUUUGGGUCGUAAAGCUCUUUUCUUGGGGAAGAUAGUGACGGUACCCAAGGAAUAAGCGCCGGCUAACUCCGUGCCAGCAGCCGCGGUAAUACGGAGGGUGCAAGCGUUGUUCGGAUUUACUGGGCGUAAAGGGCACGUAGGCGGCACAGCAAGUUAAGGGUGAAAUCCCGGGGCUCAACUCCGGAACUGCUCUUAAAACUGCUGAGCUAGAGAUAGUCAGAGGCGGGUGGAAUUCCAGGUGUAGAGGUGAAAUUCGUAGAUAUCUGGAGGAACACCGGUGGCGAAGGCGGCCCGCUGGGGCUAUUCUGACGCUAAGGUGCGAAAGCGUGGGGAGCAAACGGGAUUAGAUACCCGUGUAGUC